AAAAGCAAUAUGCCUCGUCAGCUGAACGCAGUGCAUAGCAUCUACGUGUUGGAGGCUCAAUAACAAAGGACGGCUGCUUGCCUACCGUUACAGGUCAUCAUAACAACAGCAGGCAACAAUGAUUGCAGUUAUGAUACUCGGACUCUUAUUUACAGUUGCGGCACGUAAGCAAGCAGUGAAUGAGCACUUUUCUGGCUUCACUUGCACUCCGCCAAAGGAAGGAUGUCCACAGCCAACUUCGACGUCACGAAAGCAGCUGUUCUUCUUCAACACCAGUAGCCAUGAGUGUUACGGCAUAUACACCAGUGGUUGCGAUGGAUAUGGCUUCACUUCCUUGCUAUCCUGUACGACUAACUGUGGCCAACGAAGAACGCUAUGAAAAAGAAACUUGCCACCCAUAAUUUCUCUUUCACUGACGUUCCUCCACCUUACGCGAUUCCGUAGAACUGAUUUGCCAAAUAAAGCUAUUCUAA
This is a long non-coding RNA of Rhipicephalus sanguineus (brown dog tick), 473 nucleotides long. RefSeq lists it as uncharacterized. The transcript is spliced from 3 exons. NCBI's taxonomy places the organism in Eukaryota, Metazoa, Arthropoda, Arachnida, Ixodida, Ixodidae. The record is from RefSeq and is a predicted model, not a curated record.